Molecule: long non-coding RNA, 846 nt
Organism: Magnolia sinica
Lineage: Eukaryota; Viridiplantae; Streptophyta; Magnoliopsida; Magnoliales; Magnoliaceae
Exons: 4
Source: RefSeq, a predicted model, not a curated record
AGGUGCGUGUAGUGGUAUUUCCGUAGUUCUUAUUCUGGGUGUGUCGUUUUCCGAUGGAAAUUAGGGUUUCGAGGGAGUGAUCGGCGGUAAAAAAUCAGGUAUAUUGUUCUUCCUUCAUUUCCUUUCUUGUAAUCUAUGUUGAAUUGAGAUUUGAUCGGAAUUAGGUUUAUCUUUGUUGAAUUCCUUGUUCUGCUUUUUGAAAUGUUGAUUUAUGGUUUUAGUGGAGAGAUCAUUGAUUGUAGAAAUGAGUCCUUUUUGGUUAUGAGAUCAUUAAGGAUAGAAGCUUCUUCAAUGAUCUGAUUUGCAUGAUUUUUUGUUCUUAUAUUUACAAUAAUGAUGCCAACUGUGGUAGCAUUGAUGAUGCCUUGAGGCUGUUUGGUAAAAUGCUUGAGAGAAGGUAUUUAUAGCUUUUCCACAGCUUCUGAAGUACUCAAGCUCACAGGCUAAUGUUUGUUUCUUUUGACUUUAAAUAUUGGACAGGUAAAUGACAGUAAGUUCAGGCAAGAGUAUAAAAAAGUGUCAUUUCUUCCCCAUUUGUGGUAAGCUCCAAUAAGAACAUGCAGGGCUGAUGUAUUUUCAGCCCCACAGAUCAAUGUUUCCAUUUCAAGGUUCAAUAUUGAAAUGUGAUUAUCAGAAGCAGUGGGCCAUCAUUGAAAGAUUACCCUUGUAGUGAGUCUAGAUGGGAGAGGACAAGGAUCUUUCAGUUAUGACGAACGUGGAUUUGUAAAAGCUGUUCCCAGGCAAGAAGGUAAGAGAAUAAUACACCUAGGUGAACUUGAAUCAUAUGCAUGACAUGUCACGUAUCACAACAUUGGCAACAUGUCCAUCUAAUUUAAGACAUGCGCU